This 75-nucleotide transfer RNA is filed under the name Planctomycetales bacterium 4484_113. RNAcentral's name for it is "tRNA-Pro". It matches the Rfam family "tRNA". Rfam says of the family: Transfer RNA (tRNA) molecules are approximately 80 nucleotides in length. Their secondary structure includes four short double-helical elements and three loops (D, anti-codon, and T loops). RNAcentral also lists the same sequence under 1 other name. Lineage: Bacteria; Pseudomonadati; Planctomycetota; Planctomycetia; Planctomycetales. The record is from RNAcentral.
CGGGGUGUGGCUCAGUCCGGUUAGAGCGCCACGUUCGGGACGUGGAGGUCGCCGGUUCAAAUCCGGCCACCCCGA